Molecule: ribosomal RNA, 776 nt
Filed under: uncultured Neocallimastigales
Lineage: Eukaryota; Fungi; Neocallimastigomycota; Neocallimastigomycetes; Neocallimastigales
Description: partial large subunit ribosomal RNA
Rfam family: Eukaryotic large subunit ribosomal RNA
Source: RNAcentral
AGAGAGAGACAUGCGCGCAUAUCAAUAAGCGGAGGAAAAGAAACUAACUAGGAUUCCCUCAGUAACGGCGAGUGAAGCGGGAAGAGCUCAAAUUUGAAAAUCUUCAAGGUUUUACCUUGACGAAUUGUAGUUUAAAGAAGUGUUUUCUGCUGAAGUUUUGGUAAAAGUUCUUUGGAAUAGGACAUCAUAGAGGGUGAGAAUCCCGUAUUUGACCAUUAUUUUCAGCUUUGUGAUACACUUUCAAAGAGUCGGAUUGUUUGGGAAUGCAGUCCAAAAUGGGUGGUAAAUUUCAUCUAAAGCUAAAUAUUGGCGAGAGACCGAUAGCGAACAAGUACCGUGAGGGAAAGAUGAAAAGAACUUUGAAAAGAGAUGUUAAACAGUACGUGAAAUUGUCAAAAGGGAAGCGUUUGACACCAGUGUUGUUUUCUCGAAAAUCAAUUAAAAAUGGCUCGAUUUUGUAUUGUUGAGACCUUAAAAGCUCACUGUACAUUUUUCGUGUCUUUUUUAAUGCACUUUUCGUUUAACAAGUCAACAUCAGUUUCUUUUGUUGUAAAAGGGUCAUUGGAAGGUGGCUUUCUUUUCGGAGAAAGUGUUUAUAGCCUUUGGCCUCUGCAAUCGGAGAGAUUGAGGUCUGCAGCGUAGACUCUUCGGGGUUAGAUACAUUUGUGCUAAGUUAUAGCUUUUUAUAGACAACUUGUUGACUAUAAUUAGUCUUGUAGCUUACUCGCUUAUGCUAUUUUACCUACGCUUAGGAUGUUGAAGUCAUCGUAUCGCGC